GACCCAAUGGCACAGUUGGUUAGUGCGUCUACUCCAAAUUAGAUAGUUUUGCAGCUGUGAAGCAGGAGUCCCUCGUUCGAAUCGGGGUUGGGUCG
Non-coding RNA from Mycena leptocephala, 95 nucleotides. The record is from the annotation of a GenBank genome assembly. NCBI's taxonomy places the organism in Eukaryota, Fungi, Basidiomycota, Agaricomycetes, Agaricales, Mycenaceae.